Ficedula albicollis (Collared flycatcher) is the source of this 603-nucleotide long non-coding RNA. RefSeq lists it as uncharacterized. The record is from RefSeq and is a predicted model, not a curated record. The transcript has 3 exons. Lineage: Eukaryota; Metazoa; Chordata; Aves; Passeriformes; Muscicapidae.
AACAAAUCAGUGUGAGAGAAGACAUAAGGGCAGCUACCAGAAAAUUCUGACAGAACCUCCAGAGGCAAAUAAACCAGAAGUAAUUAUGGGCAGCUUCAGGAAAAUUGCCUUCCUUGUGGGGCCAAAGACUGAACUCACACUGAAUGAACUCACAGCAGGAAACCUCAAGGCCUUUUUGGGACAAGUCAUGUCAUUCCAGAGCACUGUGUGGGAAAGGAACCAAGCAGUUCCUCCAACUGCUUCUACACUAUAGAGCAGCUACUGCCUUUCUGCAAGGUAAAGGCUAGACCUGAUGAACAAAAGGAGAUUUUCAUGUCCCCAAGAUGUUAAAUACACACUGACAGCCAAUCCAAAUAUUAUGAAAUUAAAUAACCUCCUCUAUUCUGCAUAAUAAAACCAAAUUGCUACAGUGGUGUCACUGAAUGCCACAUACAGAGAGGAUGAAGAAUCAGAGCAGCCCAUAGAUUUUUCUCCAGUCCUGCCAGCAGCACAUCUGCCUGCAACAAGGAAUUCCUAUAUCCAUGUGUUUCCUGUCAACCUGUGUGACAAAUGCAGCACACUCUUUGUGCUCCCAGCUAGCAGAGGGAGCAAAUGACAUAUAGA